CGAGCUGGCUCGUACGAAAUCGUACGAUUAGUUCAUCGCAUUUAACACAGCCAUGUGUUGCAGGGAUUUCGUGCUAAUUAAUACGAAUAGAUUAAAUCGUACUAUACCAUACGAUUUUGUUCAUCGCAUUCAAGAAGCGUGACCCGUAGCCAGAAAAAACCUCUGGGUGUGCACCUGAAAAUCUGCGUGUCACAGGCAGGCAAGAUGACCAGAAACGCUGGGGAAUUCAGGUGCUGUAAAUCCGGUGGACAGGACUCAUCUCGUUAUAGAUCAAGGUAAUUUAUAAAGAUCUUUAAACAAAGGAUUGCAAUAUCAGAUAGUUUACAUGGUAAGCAAGUUAGUUAAUAUUUUUAAUUAAAAAAAAAGGAAAAACGGAAUAAAACUAAUAGCAUACAUUAUUGUUGUUGCGGUGUGUCACGUGACAAUCAUGACCCGUCGCCAUGGACACAAGGGGUCAGAUAAAAUAUUUUUAAAUUACGCGUGAAAGGCUUGAUUUUAAAAAUAUAUAUAUAUUCUAAGUAAACAACAACAGCCCUAGUUUAGUAAAAAAAAAUAUUGAAACUAUAAAUAAAUAUUCUGCAUCCAUUUUAGGUGUGCUACUGUGGGUGGCUACGCCCCUGCCGUGACCCAAAUCUCGUUCGCACAUCAUCGCGAUAUUUAUCAUCUGUUUACAAACGUCGCCACAUCUCGCUUCGUAAGAUGGAAUUACUGGACUUCUCUCCAAUGCUCUUUAUUACCACACAGAGAGGCCAGCAUCGCUUCACAAAAGUUUUCAUUAAAAACGUCAACGUUCAGAGGCAUCACUCAGUACCAGUCAUGCAGAGACUUUAUGAGGCUGUUGUAAGAGAUUAGCCUAUCCCCUGUAUGUCACUGAUGCACUACUACAAAGAUGUGAGGACAAGAAAAUACACCUGCGAGUAGUCUUAGACAUUGCCUGUGUUGUUGCCUCACAUUUGCAGAAAUCAGGGGAGGGCAUACCACACAACAUCUCCUUAGACUUACCAGCAUUUCAUGUUUAUGGACACAAAUGGCCCUGCCAGGUAAUUCAUUGACUUUAUAGGGAUAUCAGG
This is a non-coding RNA of Misgurnus anguillicaudatus (oriental weatherfish), 1070 nucleotides long. The record is from RefSeq and is a predicted model, not a curated record. NCBI's taxonomy places the organism in Eukaryota, Metazoa, Chordata, Actinopteri, Cypriniformes, Cobitidae.